UGAACGCUAGCUACAGGCUUAACACAUGCAAGUCGAGGGGCAGCAUGAUCUUAGCUUGCUAAGAUUGAUGGCGACCGGCGCACGGGUGAGUAACGCGUAUCCAACUUCCCCUUAGUAGAGGAUAGCCCGGCGAAAGUCGGAUUAAUACUCUAUGUUGUAUUUUGAGGACAUCUGACGAAUACCAAAGAUUCAUCGCUAAGGGAUGGGGAUGCGUCUGAUUAGCUUGUUGGCGGGUAACGGCCCACCAAGGCAACGAUCAGUAGGGGUUCUGAGAGGAAGGUCCCCCACAUUGGUACUGAGACACGGACCAAACUCCUACGGGAGGCAGCAGUGAGGAAUAUUGGUCAAUGGGCGAGAGCCUGAACCAGCCAAGUAGCGUGCAGGACGACUGCCCUAUGGGUUGUAAACUGCUUUUAUGCGGGAAUAAAGUGCGGGACGCGUCCCGUUUUGUAUGUACCGCAUGAAUAAGGACCGGCUAAUUCCGUGCC
RNAcentral lists this ribosomal RNA (488 nucleotides) under uncultured bacterium. RNAcentral's name for it is "bacterial SSU rRNA". It matches the Rfam family "Bacterial small subunit ribosomal RNA", at positions 30 to 509 of the family's 1533-position model. The record is from RNAcentral.